AAAAGAUCCUGUGCCUACCAGGAAAUUUCACUGAUCUCAUCAAGCUCCAAAAUUCAGGAAGGAGAAAAAAUCUGCACAAAUGAAGAAGUGCCCAGCAGAUCAUGCUGUCUUGUUAAAAACCCCAGUGGGUCUGUUCAUCCUAGUGCAGCACCCUCCAAACCAGCCUUCCCCAAAGGAUUCAGCAGACAUGGUCUGAGAAAAGAGCUAAGCACAAGCUGGAUCUGCUCUACUCUGCCUGCAGCCUUGGUGAGGCAGAGCAUCACAGGAAGAGGAACAUGAAUUCCUGGGAGACAAGUACUGAUGCAGAGGAAGGGGGAAGACAAGACUUGAUCAUCUAAGAAAGAGUGCAGGUUCCUAAGUAAAGCUGUGAGA
Molecule: long non-coding RNA, 372 nt
Organism: Onychostruthus taczanowskii (white-rumped snowfinch)
Lineage: Eukaryota; Metazoa; Chordata; Aves; Passeriformes; Passeridae
Exons: 3
Source: RefSeq, a predicted model, not a curated record